Molecule: ribosomal RNA, 430 nt
Filed under: uncultured archaeon
Lineage: Archaea
Description: bacterial SSU rRNA
Rfam family: Archaeal small subunit ribosomal RNA
Source: RNAcentral
UACCUGCAGCUCAAGUGGUGACCGUUAUUAUUGGGCCUAAAACGUCCGUAGCCGGUUUAUUAAAUGCCUGGGUAAAUCGGGCCGCUUAACGGUUCGAAUUCCGGGUAGACUGAUAAACUUGGGACCGGGAGAAGCUAGAGGUACUCCUGGGGUAGAGGUGAAAUUCUGUAAUCCUAGGGGGACCACCAGUGGCGAAGGCGUCUAGCUAGAACGGGUCUGACGGUGAGGGACGAAGCCCUGGGGCGCAAACCGGGAUUAGAUACCCGGGUAGUCCAGGGUGUAAACGCUGCUUGCUUGAUGUUAGUCGGGCUCCGAGCCCCGAUUAGUGUCGGAGAGAAGUUGUUAAGCAAGCUGCCUGGGAAGUACGCCCGCAAGACUGAAACUUAAAGGAAUUGGCGGGGAGCACAGCAACGGGUGGAGCGUGCGGUUU